AAUGAACGCUAGCGGCAGGCCUAACACAUGCAAGUCGAGGGGCAUCGCGGGUAGCAAUACCUGGCGGCGACCGGCGCACGGGUGAGUAACGCGUAUGCAACCUGCCCCUCACAGGGGGAUAGCCCGCCGAAAGGCGGAUUAAUACCCCAUGGCCCCGCGCCCCGGCAUCGGGGGGCGGGUAAAGGAGCGAUCCGGUGAAGGAUGGGCAUGCGUGCCAUUAGCUGGUUGGCGGGGUAACGGCCCACCAAGGCGACGAUGGCUCGGGGGUCUGAGAGGAUGGUCCCCCACACUGGUACUGAGACACGGACCAGACUCCUACGGGAGGCAGCAGUGAGGAAUAUUGGUCAAUGGGCGCAAGCCUGAACCGGCCAUCCCGCGUGAAGGAAGAAGGCGCUAUGCGUUGUAAACUUCUUUUCCAGAGGAAUAAAUUUUGUACGAGUACGGAACUGAAGGUACUCUGGGAAUAACCUUGGCUACUUCGUG
This 483-nucleotide ribosomal RNA is filed under the name uncultured bacterium. Its description in RNAcentral is "bacterial SSU rRNA". It matches the Rfam family "Bacterial small subunit ribosomal RNA", at positions 29 to 507 of the family's 1533-position model. The record is from RNAcentral.